This 659-nucleotide small RNA is filed under the name Histoplasma capsulatum. RNAcentral's name for it is "hypothetical RNA". RNAcentral also lists the same sequence under 1 other name. Lineage: Eukaryota; Fungi; Ascomycota; Eurotiomycetes; Onygenales; Ajellomycetaceae. The record is from RNAcentral.
UUAUCGCUUGUCAGUGGAUAUUUCUGCUCUGAUAUUUGCAUUUACUGAGAAGCUUCUGAACCUCAGAGAUGCUUCUGCCGAUGUGAUAGAUAUCACAGAUCAGAGGAUGGCUCUGGCCAUUGCUGAGAGUGUUGUAAGUGAAGAAAUAAUGAUGUUUGACAUUUGGCAUGAAUGAAUAUUAUAUCUGAGCCUUUAUAUCAUCAUACCAUCAAUUCAAUUCAUAAAAAAAAAAAGGGAUAUCUAUGUUCCAUAAAAUACAGCAGAAGAAACGUUGGAGAAUAGCCGCGUCAACAGAGCUUCUCGCUUCCAAGGGUAGUAGUGAAUGGAUAGCUGGCGAGGCAGCGAAGCUGAGGGUUUGGGGAACCUCAGUCGCAGAUUAAAAAAAAGGGCAGCCGGAGCAGAUAACGUGAAGUAGUGGGAUUAUGACUGGUAUGUAGUGGCAGGUGUUGUUUGUGCCUGGAUGGAAGAGAUGGCGGAACCUCGGAAUCGCCCAGCAGAGGAAGGACUGGAAGAAUAUCCGAGCAGAAUUAAUGAAAAGGACCAUAAUAAAAGCCUUAGGACUCAAGGGCGACAAUGAUGAACCAUGAAUGUCUUCUAGUUAGUUGUCAACUCUGCGUCCCGAGCUGUUCAGUAAAUAAAUAUAAUACAAGAAUGGUGUU